GACGAACGCUGGCGGCGUGCCUAAUACAUGCAAGUGGAACGCUGAAGCGAGGAGCUUACUCUUCUUGGAUGAGUUGCGAACGGGUGAGUAACGCGUAGGUAACCUGCCUUGUAGCGGGGGAUAACUAUUGGAAACGAUAGCUAAUACCGCAUAACAAUGGAUGACACAUGUCAUUUAUUUGAAAGGGGCAAUUGCUCCACUACAAGAUGGACCUGCGUUGUAUUAGCUAGUAGGUGAGGUAAUGGCUCACCUAGGCGACGAUACAUAGCCGACCUGAGAGGGUGAUCGGCCACACUGGGACUGAGACACGGCCCAGACUCCUACGGGAGGCAGCAGUAGGGAAUCUUCGGCAAUGGGGGCAACCCUGACCGAGCAACGCCGCGGGAGUGAAGAAGGUUUUCGGACCGUAAAGCUCUGUUGUAAGUCAAGAACGGGUGUGAGAGUGGAAAGUUCACACUGUGACGGUAGCUUACCAGAAAGGGACGGCUAACUACGUG
RNAcentral lists this ribosomal RNA (497 nucleotides) under uncultured bacterium. RNAcentral describes it as "partial 16S ribosomal RNA". It matches the Rfam family "Bacterial small subunit ribosomal RNA", at positions 28 to 507 of the family's 1533-position model. The record is from RNAcentral.